CAGUAGCCGCGGGAAUACAGAGGGUGCAAGCGUUAAUCGGAAUUACUGGGCGUAAAGCGCGCGUAGGUGGUUUGUUAAGUUGGAUGUGAAAUCCCCGGGCUCAACCUGGGAACUGCAUCCAAAACUGGCAAGCUAGAGUAUGGUAGAGGGUGGUGGAAUUUCCUGUGUAGCGGUGAAAUGCGUAGAUAUAGGAAGGAACACCAGUGGCGAAGGCGACCACCUGGACUGAUACUGACACUGAGGUGCGAAAGCGUGGGGAGCAAACAGGAUUAGAUACCCGAGUAGUCCCUGUCUCUUAUAA
RNAcentral lists this ribosomal RNA (301 nucleotides) under uncultured bacterium. RNAcentral's name for it is "partial 16S ribosomal RNA". It matches the Rfam family "Bacterial small subunit ribosomal RNA", at positions 509 to 809 of the family's 1533-position model. The record is from RNAcentral.